Molecule: ribosomal RNA, 320 nt
Filed under: uncultured bacterium
Lineage: Bacteria
Description: bacterial SSU rRNA
Rfam family: Bacterial small subunit ribosomal RNA
Source: RNAcentral
CCCGAUGCUAGUGGCGCACGGGUGAGUAACACGUGGGAAUCUACCCAAUAGUACGGAAUAACUGAGGGAAACUUUGGCUAAUACCGUAUACGCCCUUCGGGGGAAAGAUUUAUCGCUAUUGGAUGAGCCCGCGUCUGAUUAGGUAGUUGGUGAGGUAACGGCUCACCAAGCCGACGAUCAGUAGCUGGUCUGAGAGGAUGAUCAGCCACACUGGGACUGAGACACGGCCCAGACUCCUACGGGAGGCAGCAGUGGGGAAUAUUGGACAAUGGGCGCAAGCCUGAUCCAGCCAUGCCGCGUGAGUGAAGAAGGCCUUCGGG